This 497-nucleotide ribosomal RNA is filed under the name uncultured bacterium. RNAcentral describes it as "partial 16S ribosomal RNA". It matches the Rfam family "Bacterial small subunit ribosomal RNA", at positions 28 to 507 of the family's 1533-position model. The record is from RNAcentral.
GACGAACGCUGGCGGCGUGCCUAAUACAUGCAAGUUGAGCGCUGAAGGUUGGUACUUGUACCAACUGGAUGAGCAGCGAACGGGUGAGUAACGCGUGGGGAAUCUGCCUUUGAGCGGGGGACAACAUUUGGAAACGAAUGCUAAUACCGCAUAAAAACUUUAAACACAAGUUUUAAGUUUGAAAGAUGCAAUUGCAUCACUCAAAGAUGAUCCCGCGUUGUAUUAGCUAGUUGGUGAGGUAAAGGCUCACCAAGGCGAUGAUACAUAGCCGACCUGAGAGGGUGAUCGGCAACAUUGGGACUGAGACACGGCCCAAACUCCUACGGGAGGCAGCAGUAGGGAAUCUUCGGCAAUGGACGAAAGUCUGACCGAGCAACGCCGCGUGAGGGAAGAAGGGUUUCGGAUCGUAAAACUCUGUUGGUAGAGAAGAACGUUGGUGAGAGUGGAAAGCUCAUCAAGUGACGGUAACUACCCAGAAAGGGACGGCUAACUACGUG